This 3258-nucleotide ribosomal RNA is filed under the name Durio zibethinus. Its description in RNAcentral is "eukaryotic LSU rRNA". It matches the Rfam family "Eukaryotic large subunit ribosomal RNA". Lineage: Eukaryota; Viridiplantae; Streptophyta; Magnoliopsida; Malvales; Malvaceae. The record is from RNAcentral.
UGACCCCAGGUUAGGCAGGAUCACCCGCUGAGUUUAAGCAUAUCAAUAAGUGGAGUAAAAGAAACUUACCAAGAUUCCCCUAGUAACGACGAGCGAACCAGGAACAGCCUAGCUUGAGAAUCGAGUGCCCUUAGUGUUUGAAUUGUAAUCUGGAGAAGCAUCAUCAGCGGUGGGCCCAGCCCAAGUCCCCUGGAAAGGGGCACCGAAGAGGGUGAGAGCCCUAUUAUGCCCAGACCCUAUUACACCACGAGGCGCUGUCCGUGAGUCAGGUUGUUUGGGAAUGCAGCCCCAAUCGAGCGGUAAAUUUCAUCCAAGGUUGAAUACGGGCGAGAGACCAAUAGCGAACAAGUACUGCGAGGGAAAGAUGAAAAGGACUUUGAAAAAAGAGUCAAAGAGUGCUUGAAAUUGUUGGGAGGGAAGUGGAUUGGGGCCGACGAUGCACCUCAGUCAGAUGUGGAACAGCGAGAGUCGAUCCAUAGAUCGGCUCAGGGCGUGGACCGAUGAGGGUCGUGAUGGUGACACAAGCCUGGGCUUUCGAUGUGCCUGCAGAGACGUCAUCACCGUGAUCGCGAAAUGCAGCAUGCGCCAUCUCGACGUGCCAUGACACCAGCAUGCUCUAGGCGUCGGCCUGCAGGCUCCCCAUCCGGCCUGCUUGAAACACAGACCAAGGAGUCUGACAUGCGUGCGAGUCAACGAGCCAGAAAAGCGGUAAGGCAUAAGGAAGUUGAUUGACGGGAUCCCUCAUGGGUGCACCGUCGAUCGAGCUUGAUCUUUUGAAAAGGGUUCGAGUGCGAGCAUGCCCGUCAGGACCUAAAAGAUGGUGAACCACGCCAGAAAGGAAACUCUGAUGGAGGCCCGCAGCGAUACUGACGUGCAAAUCAUAUGUCUGACUUGGGUAUAGGGGUGAAAGACUAAUCGAAUCAUCUAGUAGCUGGUUCCCUCUGAAGUUUUCAUCAGGAUAGCUGGAGCCCCUGAUGAGUUUUAUCGGGUAAAGCCAAUGAUUAGAGGCAUCAGGGGUGUAACACCCUCGACCUAUUCUCAAACUUUAAAUAGGUAAGACGAUGCAAUUGCUUCAUUGAGUCACACCACAGAAUUGAGAGCUUCAAGUGGGCCAUUUUUGGUACGCAGAAUUGGAGAUGCAGGAUGAACUGAAAGCUGGGUUAUGGUGCCCAACUACGUGCUAACCCAAAACCCACAAAGGGUGUUAGUCGAUUAAGACAGCAGGACGGUGGUCACGAAAAUUGAAAUCCACUAAAGAGUGUGUAACAACUCACCUGUCGAAUCAACUAGCCCCAAAAAUGGAUGGCGCUUAAGCGCACGACCUAUACUCGACCGUCGAGGUAAGGCUAGGCCCCGAUGAGUAGGAGGGCAUGACAUUCAUCGCAAAACCCAACGUCGGUGUAGAUCUUGGUGGUAGUAGCAAAUAUUCAAAUGAGAACUUUGAAGGUCGAAAAAGGGAAAGGUUCUAUGUGAACGGCACUUGCACAUGGGUUAGUUGAUCCUGAGAGACAGGGAAAGCCCAUCCGACAGCAUGUCUCACGUGAACUUCAAAAAGGAAUCGGGUUAAAAUUCCUGAAUCGGGACGCAAUGGCUGACAGCAACGUUAGGGAGUCCAGAGACGUCGAUGAGGGCCUCAGGAAGAGUUAUCUUUUCUGUUUAACAGCCCAUCCACCCUGGAAAUGGGUCAGCUAGAGGUAGGGUCCAGUGGUCAGAAGAGCAUCGCACGUCAUGUGGUGUCUGGUGCACCCUUGGCGGCCCUUGAAAAUUCAGAGGACCGAGUGCCAUCUGUGCCUGGUCGAACUCAUAACCACAUCAGGUCUCCAAGGUCUAUAGCCUCUAGUCAAUGGAACAAUGUAGGCAAGGAAAGUCGGCAAAAUGGAUCCAUAACCUCAGGAAAAGGAUUGGCUCUGAAGGCUGGGCAUGGGGGUCCCAGUCCCGAACCCAUCAGCUGUCAGUGCAUUGCUCAAGCUGCUCCCACGGUGAGAGCGGGUCACCGCGUGCCGGUUGAGGGAUGAACUAGGAAUAGCUCCCUCGAGGGCCUUCCCUGGGUGAUGAACAAUCGACUCAAAACUGGUACGGACAAGGGUAAUCUGACUAUUUAAUUAAAACAAAGGAUUGUGAUGGUCCCUACGGAUGCUCACGCAAUGUGAUUUCUACCUAGUGCUCUGAAUAUCAAAGUGAAGAAAUUCAACCAAGCACGGGUAAACGACAUGAGUAACUAUGACUCUCUUAAGGUAGCUAAAUGCCUCUUCAUCUAAUUAGUGAGGCGCAUGAAUGGAUUAACGAGAUUCCCACUGUCCUUGUCUACUAUCAAAUGAAACCACAGCCAAGGGAACGGGCUUGGUGGAAUCAGCAGGGAAAGAAGACCCUGUUGAGCUUAACUCUAGUCCGACUUUGUGAAAUGACUUGAAAGGUGUAAGAUAAGUGGGAGCCCCCGAGUGAAAUUGAAAUACCACUACUUUUAAUGUUAUUUUACUCAUUUCGUGAAUCGGAGGCAGGGCAUGACCCAUUCUUUUGGGCCCAAGCUUAGCCUCGAUCGGUUGAUCUGGGUAGAAGACAUUGUCAGGUGGAGAGUUUGGCUAGGGCGGCACAUCUAUUAAAAGAUAACACCGAUGUCCUAAGAUGAGCUUAAUGAGAAUAGAAAUCUCGUCUGGAACAAAAGGGUAAAAGCUCAUUUGAUUCUGAUUUCUAGUAUGAAUACAAAUCUUGAAAGUGUGGCCUAUCGAUCCUUUAGACCUUCAGGAUUUGAAACUAGAGGUGUCAAAAAAGUUACCAUAGGGAUAACUGGCUUGUGGCAGCCAAGCGUUCAUAGCGACGUUGCUUUUUGAUCCUUCGAUGUUGGCUCUUCCUAUCAUUGUGAAGCAAAAUUCACCAAGUGUUGGAUUGUUCACCCACCAACAGGGAACGUGAGCUGGGUUUAGACCAUCAUGAGAUAGGUUAGUUUUACCCUACUGAUGGCAAUGUCGCGAUAGUAAUUCAACCUAGUACGAGAGGAACCGUUGAUUCGCACAAUUGGUCAUCGUGCUUGGUUAAAAAGCUAGUGGCUGAAGCUAUCAUGCACUGGAUUAGGAUUGAACGCCUCUAAGUCAAAAUCUGGGCUAGAAGCGACGCGCACGCCCGUCGCCUGAUUGCCAACCCACAGUAGGGGCCCAUGGCCCUCAAGGACAGGUGUCGUAGGUGCAGCCCUCGGGGUGGACGAGCCGCACGGGCUUCCUUUGAGCUUAAUUCCCAUCGAGCAAUGGGUAGAAUCCUUUGCAA